GUCACUGAUGGUCACUGAUGGUCAGUGAUGGUCAGUGAUGGUCAGGGAUGGUCAGGGAUGGUCAGGGAUGGUCAGUGAUGGUCACUCUGUGGUCAGUGAUGGUCACUGAUGGUCAGUGGUGGUCACUGAUGGUCAGUGAUGGUCAGGGAUGGUCACUGAUGUGAUGGUCAGUGGUCAGUGAUGGUCAGUGAUGAUCAG
This is a long non-coding RNA of Poecile atricapillus (Black-capped chickadee), 198 nucleotides long. RefSeq lists it as uncharacterized. Lineage: Eukaryota; Metazoa; Chordata; Aves; Passeriformes; Paridae. The record is from RefSeq and is a predicted model, not a curated record. The transcript has 3 exons.